AUAUCAUGGAUAAAGCCAGAGGAUUCUGAAUAUCUGGCAAAAACUCAAAAACAUGAGGAACGAACAUCCUUAGACAUAAAUAUAUGUGGGUUUUGAUUUUUACAAGACUUCAAUAAAUAAAUAGGGACUUUUUAACAUAUUCAGCUGCAGGUACUGAGGACCUACAUGUAUUGAUCACUUACACUUAUCUGUCUGGAGUGGUAUAUAAACUUCACAUGUCUCAUAGACAUACACCACACAACUCAUUUUAUUUCACCAGUUAAAUAUAUGUCAAGAUUGUUCAUGAUCAUAGAAUGACACUUGAGUUAAUUAUCAGGCAAUUACCUUUCAUUGUUCCACUUAUUAAUAUUUACCACACAAUUUUGGUAGUUCACUGUAAUGUUCCCAAUUUAAAGUUUGACAGACUAUGACAAUAACUGUAUGUGUAAAAAAAAUACUUAAAAUUUAUGCAUUUCUUUUUUCUAUAUGACAGAUAAUAAGCAGGGCAUGAACGAAGUAUGGAGGAUCUGUUUGAAAAUUCAAGACAUGAGAAAGAAAAUGACAGGGAGAGAUGUCCAGUUCAACGUGACCAGGACAAUUCAGCAAAGUUCCAACAGAUAUAAAAAAUCUGAAUUUGAGGCAAAUAUAUACUGUCAUGUACAUGAUGUAUAUAUAUAAGAUGGAUAAAGGACAUGAUACUUUAGCAGUGCUUCAGAGAAUCACAUUUGGUGACAGAAGUUUGUAGUAUUUUGGUUGUAAUCAAGUUAUUAAGCUGAAGCUUCAUAGUAAAACAGAUCUAGGCUACACCUUCACUAUUCAAGUCAGACUUUAAAAGGAAGCCUUUUUUAUUGAUAGCUGAAGAUAUGAAGAAACUUUUAAAAGAGUGGAGCAUUUAGAAGACGGAACAAUCAAAUAUUAUUUGUUACUAUUUCAGUAACUUUUCAAAUGUUAACUGUUUAGAAUAUUCUUAAAUAUAAAUAUAAUUGAAUUUAAUGUGGAAA
Long non-coding RNA from Mytilus californianus (California mussel), 980 nucleotides. RefSeq lists it as uncharacterized. The record is from RefSeq and is a predicted model, not a curated record. NCBI's taxonomy places the organism in Eukaryota, Metazoa, Mollusca, Bivalvia, Mytilida, Mytilidae. The transcript is spliced from 4 exons.